RNAcentral lists this long non-coding RNA (272 nucleotides) under Lathyrus oleraceus (garden pea). RNAcentral describes it as "Pisum sativum (pea) long non-coding RNA (PSAT_LNC037151)". The record is from RNAcentral. Lineage: Eukaryota; Viridiplantae; Streptophyta; Magnoliopsida; Fabales; Fabaceae.
GACGAUGAUGCCUUCUCUCUCCCGUCUCCAGAUAAGCCUCUUUCUUCUGUUUUCGUUUUUAGGGUUUUUGAGAAUAUUGAUGUGUUCUUGCUGUGUUGUUCUGGUUUAAGAAAAAAAAUACUUCUCUGUAAUCUCGUGUGGGUUUUCUAGGGUUUUCAGAAAAAUUUUGUAUUGUUCUUGAUGUGUGUCUUAGGUUUUUUAGAAAAAAUCUCUUGUUGUGUAUAUGUUGUUGUCUUCAGCUGUUGUUGUUGUUAUGUUCUUUAGGGUUUUUG